AAGUAGUCGCCGGGUGAACGGAUGUUAUUGAUGUUAACGAACAGGAUAUUAAUCACUACUUU
RNAcentral lists this transfer RNA (62 nucleotides) under Philine kinglipini. RNAcentral's name for it is "tRNA-Ile". The record is from RNAcentral. Lineage: Eukaryota; Metazoa; Mollusca; Gastropoda; Cephalaspidea; Philinidae.